This 253-nucleotide ribosomal RNA is filed under the name uncultured bacterium. RNAcentral's name for it is "partial 16S ribosomal RNA". It matches the Rfam family "Bacterial small subunit ribosomal RNA", at positions 524 to 776 of the family's 1533-position model. The record is from RNAcentral.
UACGUAUGGUGCAAGCGUUAUCCGGAUUUACUGGGUGUAAAGGGAGCGCAGGCGGCGCGUUAAGCCUGGUGUGAAAGCCCGCGGCCCAACCGCGGGACUGCAUUGGGAACUGGCGCGCUGGAGUGCCGGAGGGGUAGGCGGAGUUCCUAGUGUAGCGGUGAAAUGCGUAGAUAUUAGGAGGAACACCAGUGGCGAAGGCGGCCUACUGGACGGUGACUGACGCUGAGGCUCGAAAGCGUGGGGAGCAAACAGG